GAGUUGAUCCUGGCUCAGGAUGAACGCUAGCGACGGGCUUAACACAUGCAAGUCGAGGGGCAUCACGGGAGUAGCAAUACAACUGGUGGCGACCGGCGCACGGGUGAGUAACGCGUAUGCAACCUACCUAUCAGAGGGGAAUAACCCGGCGAAAGUCGGACUAAUACCGCAUAAAACAGGGGCACCGCAUGGUGAUAUUUGUUAAAGAAAUUCGCUGAUAGAUGGGCAUGCGUUCCAUUAGGUAGUUGGUGAGGUAACGGCUCACCAAGCCGACGAUGGAUAGGGGAACUGAGAGGUUGGUCCCCCACACUGGUACUGAGACACGGACCAGACUCCUACGGGAGGCAGCAGUGAGGAAUAUUGGUCAAUGGGCGGGAGCCUGAACCAGCCAAGUCGCGUGAAGGAAAGAAGGAUCUAUGGUUCGUAAACUUCUUUUGCAGGGGAAUAAAGUGCAGGACGUGUCCUGUUUUGUAUGUACCCUGAGAAUAAGGAUCGGCUAACUCCGUGCCAGCAGCAGC
This 518-nucleotide ribosomal RNA is filed under the name uncultured bacterium. RNAcentral describes it as "bacterial SSU rRNA". It matches the Rfam family "Bacterial small subunit ribosomal RNA", at positions 9 to 518 of the family's 1533-position model. The record is from RNAcentral.